Molecule: ribosomal RNA, 1432 nt
Filed under: uncultured organism
Description: 16S ribosomal RNA
Rfam family: Bacterial small subunit ribosomal RNA
Source: RNAcentral
GAUGAACGCUAGCUACAGGCUUAACACAUGCAAGUCGAGGGGCAGCAUGGUCUUAGCUUGCUAAGGCCGAUGGCGACCGGCGCACGGGUGAGUAACACGUAUCCAACCUGCCGUCUACUCUUGGACAGCCUUCUGAAAGGAAGAUUAAUACAAGAUGGCAUCAUGAGUCCGCAUGUUCACAUGAUUAAAGGUAUUCCGGUAGACGAUGGGGAUGCGUUCCAUUAGAUAGUAGGCGGGGUAACGGCCCACCUAGUCUUCGAUGGAUAGGGGUUCUGAGAGGAAGGUCCCCCACAUUGGAACUGAGACACGGUCCAAACUCCUACGGGAGGCAGCAGUGAGGAAUAUUGGUCAAUGGGCGAGAGCCUGAACCAGCCAAGUAGCGUGAAGGAUGACUGCCCUAUGGGUUGUAAACUUCUUUUAUAAAGGAAUAAAGUCGGGUAUGGAUACCCGUUUGCAUGUACUUUAUGAAUAAGGAUCGGCUAACUCCGUGCCAGCAGCCGCGGUAAUACGGAGGAUCCGAGCGUUAUCCGGAUUUAUUGGGUUUAAAGGGAGCGUAGAUGGAUGUUUAAGUCAGUUGUGAAAGUUUGCGGCUCAACCGUAAAAUUGCAGUUGAUACUGGAUAUCUUGAGUGCAGUUGAGGCAGGCGGAAUUCGUGGUGUAGCGGUGAAAUGCUUAGAUAUCACGAAGAACUCCGAUUGCGAAGGCAGCCUGCUAAGCUGCAACUGACAUUGAGGCUCGAAAGUGUGGGUAUCAAACAGGAUUAGAUACCCUGGUAGUCCACACGGUAAACGAUGAAUACUCGCUGUUUGCGAUAUACUGCAAGCGGCCAAGCGAAAGCGUUAAGUAUUCCACCUGGGGAGUACGCCGGCAACGGUGAAACUCAAAGGAAUUGACGGGGGCCCGCACAAGCGGAGGAACAUGUGGUUUAAUUCGAUGAUACGCGAGGAACCUUACCCGGGCUUAAAUUGCAGAUGAAUUACGGUGAAAGCCGUAAGCCGCAAGGCAUCUGUGAAGGUGCUGCAUGGUUGUCGUCAGCUCGUGCCGUGAGGUGUCGGCUUAAGUGCCAUAACGAGCGCAACCCUUGUUGUCAGUUACUAACAGGUUCCGCUGAGGACUCUGACAAGACUGCCAUCGUAAGAUGUGAGGAAGGUGGGGAUGACGUCAAAUCAGCACGGCCCUUACGUCCGGGGCUACACACGUGCUACAAUGGGGGGUACAGAGGGCCGCUACCACGCGAGUGGAUGCCAAUCCCCAAAACCUCUCUCAGUUCGGACUGGAGUCUGCAACCCGACUCCACGAAGCUGGAUUCGCUAGUAAUCGCGCAUCAGCCACGGCGCGGUGAAUACGUUCCCGGGCCUUGUACACACCGCCCGUCAAGCCAUGGGAGCCGGGGGUACCUGAAGUGCGUAACCGCGAGGAGCGCCCUAGGGUA